Molecule: long non-coding RNA, 253 nt
Organism: Cervus elaphus (red deer)
Lineage: Eukaryota; Metazoa; Chordata; Mammalia; Artiodactyla; Cervidae
Exons: 3
Source: RefSeq, a predicted model, not a curated record
GGAGGAGCUGCGGGAUGGGGCGGUCUGAACAUUGUCCUGUGAUGUACGUGCCCUACUUCCACAUUCCGGAGGGGAAAUUAAGAAAGUCACGGGGAAAGAAACAUCGCCCUUCUCAGCCGGCAUCGCCGAGAGACCACCCGUCCCUCUAGGUCACUCUGCCCCACAGGAGACAGCUCUUCCAGAAUACUUCGCAGUCACACAGUUGUGUCCGACUCUUUGCGACCCAGUGGACUGCAGCACGCCAGGCUUAUCU